RNAcentral lists this ribosomal RNA (253 nucleotides) under uncultured bacterium. Its description in RNAcentral is "partial 16S ribosomal RNA". It matches the Rfam family "Bacterial small subunit ribosomal RNA", at positions 524 to 776 of the family's 1533-position model. The record is from RNAcentral.
UACGAAGGGGGCUAGCGUUACUCGGAAUUACUGGGCGUAAAGGGCGCGUAGGCGGCGUUCCAAGUUAGGCGUGAAAGUCCUGGGCUCAACCUGGGAACUGCGCUUAAGACUGGAAUGCUAGAGGAUGGAAGAGGGUUGUGGGAAUUCCCAGUGUAGAGGUGAAAUUCGUAGAUAUUGGGAAGAACACCGGUGGCGAAGGCGGCAACCUGGUCCAUUUCUGACGCUGAGGCGCGAUAGCGUGGGAGCAAACAGG